GACGAACGCUGGCGGCGUGCUUAACACAUGCAAGUCGAACGGACAGACAGAGAGCUUGCUCUCUUGAAGUUAGUGGCGAACGGGUGAGUAACGCGUAAUCAACCUGCCCUUCAGAGGGGGAUAACAACGGGAAACCGUUGCUAAUACCGCGUACGAUUCAUGAACGGCAUCGUUUAUGAAUGAAAGGUGGCCUCUAUGUAUAAGCUAUCGCUGAAGGAGGGGAUUGCGUCUGAUUAGCUAGUUGGAGGGGUAACGGCCCACCAAGGCAAUGAUAAGAAGCCGGUCUGAGAGGAUGAACGGCCACAUUGGGACUGAGAAACGGCCCAAACUCCUACGGGAGGCAGCAGUGGGGAAUCUUCCGCAAUGGACGAAAGUCUGACGGAGCAACGCCGCGUGAGUGAUGAAGGUCUUCGGAUUGUAAAGCUCUGUUAAUCGGGACGAAAGAGUUCUGCGUGAAUAAUGCAGAAAAGUGACGGUACCGGAAUAGAAAGCCACGGCUAACUACGUGCCAGCCGCCGCGGUAA
This 524-nucleotide ribosomal RNA is filed under the name uncultured bacterium. RNAcentral describes it as "partial 16S ribosomal RNA". It matches the Rfam family "Bacterial small subunit ribosomal RNA", at positions 28 to 523 of the family's 1533-position model. The record is from RNAcentral.